CCCGGCAGGCAUCACGUUACACUUGUCUGCAUUGAAUUUCAUCUGCCAUUUUACCACCCACCCGCUCAGCUUGGAGAAGUCCUUUUGGAGCUCUUCACAAUCUCUUUUUUUGUUUUAAAAGUAAUCUUUAAAAUCAUUUUGGGCUUUAAAGAACUUCAACACCAACACUUUUGAAAUGUCCCCCAUUUUAGGUGUAUUAUGUGAAUUGAGGACUCUCUGUGGGAACCGUGAUCUCCAAAUCCCAAGAAAAUAGCCGAGACAGAGACAAAAUAGCAGAAGCAGAGACAAACUAUGAUCGUGAGUCCAUCAUGCUUCAGAAUAUCUUGGCUCAUUUCACAACGUCCUAGUCAGCUCUAAUAACUGGUUUUGAUAUUGCCACUUCUAGGUGAACAUCGCCACAGACCUACCCCAUGGCAGCAUUUCAUUCCCAACCAGUCAUGUUUUAACAUUGCUUAGCCAUAUGGUGCCUUAUGAACUUAUUCACGCUGUGAUUGAUACGAUUUAUUCACCUGGCAAAUGUAUGGACCAAACAAAAGGAG
This is a non-coding RNA of Podarcis lilfordi (Lilford's wall lizard), 539 nucleotides long. The record is from the annotation of a GenBank genome assembly. NCBI's taxonomy places the organism in Eukaryota, Metazoa, Chordata, Lepidosauria, Squamata, Lacertidae.